AACGAACGCUGGCGGCAUGCCUAACACAUGCAAGUCGAACGAGACCUUCGGGUCUAGUGGCGCACGGGUGCGUAACGCGUGGGAACCUGCCCUUAGGCUCGGAAUAACUCCCCGAAAGGGGUGCUAAUACCGGAUAAUGUCUUCGGACCACAGAUUUAUCCCCUUUGGAUGGGCCCGCGUUGGAUUAGCUAGUUGGUAGGGGAAAAGCCUAUCAAGGCGACGAUCCAUAGCUGGUCUGAGAGGAUGAGCAGCCACACUGGGACUGAGACACGGCCCAGACUCCUACGGGAGGCAGCAGUGGGGAAUAUUGGACAAUGGGCGAAAGCCUGAUGCAGCAAUGCCGGGUGAGUGAUGAAGGCCUUAGGGUUGUAAAGCUCUUUUACCCGGGAUGAUAAUGACAGUACCGGGAGAAUAAGCUCCGGCUAACUCCGUG
Molecule: ribosomal RNA, 433 nt
Filed under: uncultured bacterium
Lineage: Bacteria
Description: partial 16S ribosomal RNA
Rfam family: Bacterial small subunit ribosomal RNA
Source: RNAcentral